AGCACCCAUUUAUAACUUUUUUUGAAUUCUUUCAUUUUCACUCCCUCACUCUCACGUCUCCUCUUCAAAGAAAAAAUAUCUCUUUCUCUAUAACCUGAAAAUUACAAUCCUUUUUGUUUUAAGUUUUAGGCCGUCGACCACCAUCCGUCGCCGGUCAACUACCCAGAAUUUAAUCAAACUUUAUCUAAAGUUUUAUCUCCAACUCCUCUUUCCAUUUCUUUGAUUAGUUUUUCCUGAAAGCCCCACCAAAAUUCAUAGAUUUACACAUGCAAUUGACCACCAUUUCCUUACCUUUCUUUCUCUCCACAAAAAUUAAAGCCCCAAAUGAUACUGAAUCACUCCCACCAAAAAGCAAAGUCUGAAACAGCAAACAACCAAAAUCACCAAUGGGCAAGGAUGGAAAAGGUCACCACACUUGAAAAGAAGAUAGGAUGAUGAAUUUCGGCUUUCGCAAGGGCGUUGAGUAGGUUGUUAGAUUCACAAAAUACUACCAUUAUCUCGUUAAAGUAGUUGGCGGAGGGGGAGGGGGAGGGGAAUACGCAUUAUUUGAUGAUAAUGUUGAAUGGAUAAGGGAGACAUUUACAUCACAUUUGGUUGGGUGAAGAAAUAGUUAUCUAAUAAUGGAAUAGAGUUGUAAUUAGUUUCGAUUGUUUGGUUUAAUGAAAUAGAAUAGAGUUGUAAUAGUAGGUUUAAAUGAUCAAAGUACUAUUAAUAGAAUUUUUUUUAGGUAGAU
Molecule: long non-coding RNA, 733 nt
Filed under: Gossypium barbadense (sea-island cotton)
Lineage: Eukaryota; Viridiplantae; Streptophyta; Magnoliopsida; Malvales; Malvaceae
Description: long non-coding RNA (GBAR_LNC004154)
Source: RNAcentral